UAAUCAUGGACAGGGGAAACGCUGAAUAGGAAAUGUAAAUGCGUGAGAGAAGAGGAAGAUUGAAAAAGAGAGAACCUUUUGCUUUUCUUUUAUGUAACGUGUAGUAUAAUAACCAGUCAUUUUCCAGCAAAUAUCCAUCUGCCGUUUUCUUCAUGGUCUCACCACGUGACUCAAGCUCUCUGGUCCUUCUCUGCCCAUCCCUUCCUGUGCCUCAUCCCUUGAUAAAUUAAUCGAUAAUCUUUCUUUUUUCUUAAGUAAAUUCAUAUGGUUAAGCUAAGCAAAGAGCCACAGACAUUGACAAAUCUAAGAAAAUCCUAGUCCUUUCUCCUUUCUCUCCCUGCUUAUAGUUUUGUAACAUAAACGGCUCCUGGCAGCUAAAACUGUGUGCCCAGAUUGGAGAGGAAAGAAGCAAGCUUUUGGGGCAUAUAUUUUGGAAGAUGGGGUCUUGAGUUUAUCUUCAACUGGCUACAAAGGUACUUUAUCUUUUGUACUGUGCUUAUUCUUUUUGCCUUCAAUCAAAGAAGUUCCAAAAUUGUUAAAUAUAAGCCUGCUUUUGUUGGCAAAAUGAGGGACUUUCCUUCUUGUUUUGGCGAGAGUGGAGUUCAAGUAGCUGAUUCAUCUUUGUCAAGUACAACAAAAGCUGCUCAAAAUUUGGUCACUUGUGUCUAUCAAUGUAAAUUGCGUGGUCGUUCUUGUUUAAUUACCGUUACUUGGACCAAGAAUCUCAUGGGCCAAGGUGUCGGGGUUGCAAUUGACGAUUCAAACAGUCAGUGUCUUUGUAAAGUUGAUAUAAAACCUUGGCUGUUCUCUAAAAGAAAAGGGUACAAGAAUUUAGAGGUAGAUUCUGACAAGGUAAUUAUAAAUUGGGACAUGUCCAAUGCUAAAUUUGGUUCCGGGCCUGAGCCUUUGGAGGGGUUUUAUUUGGCCAUUACUUUUAAUCUAGAAAUGGUGUUACUUCUCGGGGACAUGAAGAAGGAAGCAUACAAGAAGAUUGAAAGUCCUCCGGUGCACUCCAAGGCCAUUUUCAUCGCUAGAAGAGAGCAUAUUUUUGGGAAGAAGUUCUAUAGUGCAAAAGCUCAGUUUUCUGACAGGGGCCAGAUGCAUGAUAUUACAAUUGAAUGCGAUACAUUUGAUCUGAAGGAUCCCUGUCUUGUGAUCCGCAUUGAUGGUGAGAUGGUAAUGCAGGUCAAAAGACUGAAAUGGAAGUUCCGGGGCAACUAUACUAUAUUGGUGGAUGGGCUCCCAGUUGAAGUGUUUUGGGAUGUUCAUAAUUGGCUAUUUGGUAAUGCUAUGGGCAAUGCAGUUUUCAUGUUCCAAACUUGCUUAUCAGCGGAGAAAUUAUGGAUCAAUCAAUCCAUUUUCGAUCCCUCUGUACUGACCUGGUCAUCCUCGCAGAAACUCAGAGAUUGCCAAUUGCAAGGUCUUGGUUUCUCCCUUAUAUUGUAUGCUUGGAAGAAUGAAUAAGUUUUUUCCACCAUCGAGUCUUAUCAGAUAGGUCUUGCAAUGUAUUUUUUUUUAAAAAAAAAAGAAUGAUGUGAUAUAGAUACAGGUAUUGCAAUUGGAAGUUUACCCAUUCGUUUCUUUUUCUCCCCUCCUCUCGUCAACUUACAUGUAUUAUAUGAUUGCACUAACCCAAUGCUCUUCAUCAAUUGCUU
This is an RNA transcript of Populus euphratica (Euphrates poplar), 1655 nucleotides long. RefSeq lists it as uncharacterized. The record is from RefSeq and is a predicted model, not a curated record. Lineage: Eukaryota; Viridiplantae; Streptophyta; Magnoliopsida; Malpighiales; Salicaceae. The transcript is spliced from 2 exons.